This 394-nucleotide long non-coding RNA is filed under the name Oryza brachyantha (malo sina). Its description in RNAcentral is "long non-coding RNA (OBRA_LNC003213)". The record is from RNAcentral. Lineage: Eukaryota; Viridiplantae; Streptophyta; Magnoliopsida; Poales; Poaceae.
UAAAUUUCUUAAGAAUGCCUCGAAACAUGGAAUUUUGAAUGAUUUUCAACAUGAGGUCUAUUAUUUCUUUGUGUCUAUCUCUUAUAAUUUCUAUAUUUUUCUUUGCUUGAUCCAAAUGAUUAUUCAUGUAGUUUUCUUGUGUUUAUUGCAUCCAUAGGAUUUUUUUUAUAGGACACUUUAAUCUUGCACUUCUUUUUUAUUUCAACAUAAUAUUUUCUUAUUUCAACCAAUUUGAGUAUGGGGGCUGCUACACUACGGUAUAUCGUCAAAACAAAAAAAUAAUAACAUGUUACCUUGUAGGUAAUAUGGUACCGCAUGUAUCGUGUAUGAAACCUCAAAUGUACCAGAAUACCAUAUCUAAGUAACAAUGUACCUUACACAUAUCGUAUAUGAU